Molecule: non-coding RNA, 98 nt
Organism: Naganishia friedmannii
Lineage: Eukaryota; Fungi; Basidiomycota; Tremellomycetes; Filobasidiales; Filobasidiaceae
Source: the annotation of a GenBank genome assembly
GAUCCUAUAGUCAAGUGGUUACGACGUGGCAUUGUGGCUUUCUGGGUUUACUCAGAUGCAAUUCUGCCGAGGCGAGUGUUCGAUUCACUCUAGGGUCA